UUCUCUUCUAACUACAAGCAGCCAGAAAGAGC
RNAcentral lists this non-coding RNA (32 nucleotides) under Homo sapiens (human). Lineage: Eukaryota; Metazoa; Chordata; Mammalia; Primates; Hominidae. The record is from RNAcentral.